AGUCGAACGCGAAAGCUCCCUUCGGGGAGCAAGUAGAGUGGCGCACGGGUGAGUAACACGUAGGUAAUCUACCUUCGGAUGGGGAAUAACAGCCGGAAACGGUUGCUAAUACCGCAUAAUGCAGCGGCACCUAAUGGUGACAGUUGUUAAAGCGGGGGAUCGUAAGACCUCGCGUCUGAAGAGGAGCCUGCGGCAGAUUAUCUAGUUGGUAAGGUAACGGCUUACCAAGGCGAUGAUCUGUAGCCGGCCUGAGAGGGCGGUCGGCCACACUGACACUGACAUACGGGUCAGACUCCUACGGGAGGCAGCAGUCGGGAAUUUUGGGCAAUGGGCGAAAGCCUGACCCAGCAACGCCGCGUGAAGGAUGAAAUCCCUCGGGAUGUAAACUUCGCAAGAACGGGAAGAAUAAGUGAGAGUUAAUAUCUCUCGCGAUGACGGUACCGUUUGUAAGCUCCGGCUAACUCCGUGCCAGCAGCCGCGGUAAUACGGGGGGAGCAAGCGUUGUUCGGAUUUACUGGGCGUAAAGGGCGCGUAGGCGGCCACCGCAAGUCGACUGUGAAAUCUCCGGGCUUAACCCGGAAAGGUCAGCCGAUACUGCGGGGCUAGAGUGCAGAAGGGGGCAACUGGAAUUCUCGGUGUAACGGUGAGAUGCGUAAAUUUCGAGAGGAACACCUGCGGCGAAGGCGGGUUGCUGGGCUGACACUGACGCUGAGGCGCGAAAGCUAGGGGAGCGAACGGGAUUAGAUACCCCGGUAGUCCUAGCCUUAAACGAUGAAUGCUUGGUGUCUGGGGUUUUAUAGUCCCCGGGUGCCGUCGCUAACGCUUUAAGCAUUCCGCCUGGGGAGUACGGUCGCAAGACUGAAAACUCAAAAGGAAUUGACGGGGAACCCGCCA
Molecule: ribosomal RNA, 894 nt
Filed under: uncultured Bacillota bacterium
Lineage: Bacteria; Bacillati; Bacillota
Description: bacterial SSU rRNA
Rfam family: Bacterial small subunit ribosomal RNA
Source: RNAcentral